Meleagris gallopavo (turkey) is the source of this 844-nucleotide non-coding RNA. The record is from RefSeq and is a predicted model, not a curated record. NCBI's taxonomy places the organism in Eukaryota, Metazoa, Chordata, Aves, Galliformes, Phasianidae.
CUGGCUUUUGCUCUCAUAGGGCUGUGAGCAGGCUUGGAGCAAGCUGGUGAAGCUGGAGCGUUCAGGUUGCUCUUCUAAACACAGGUACAACUGAUGGCAGUGUGAGAGAGAGUGCUUCCAGAGGUGCAGCACAAGUCCUUGAAGACUCGGAGCAGGGAGAACUGCACAAUGUGCUGCUGCGUGGGGCCCUUUGUAUGUAGAUCCUCUUAUUUGCUAAUGGGAUUUAGAUUCAGACUUCCAUCUCGCCAACCUGAACACUUGCCUGAAGGUAAAUCAGUUCCGAGAAGUCCUUUCUCAAGUCUCCAGGGAGAGACAGCAAGGAGAGAAGUCAAAUUGAAGAUUAUUUUAAGGCACAUUGUUUCUCGGCAUGAAGCACAGCACUGUGAAGCUCGGAAGGCUGAACAUUAACAUUCCCAUCCUGUUACAUAAGUGCUAAAUAAAGAAUAUAAUCGAGACUUUACAGGAAAAUGGUUCAGAUAACCAGUUGGUUGGAGCUCUGCAGACCCCUGGCCUUCCACAUGCAGCCUUAUGUGCACCUGAUCCAUGCUGGGAAGUUGGAUCUGGUCCCCGAAAGCAGGACCAGAUGCCCUCACCUAUGGGUGAUGUCUAAGUCUGUUAACAUAUGGUGCUACCAUCUUGAGGUUGGGCUGGGAGGAUGGCUGAGCAUUAGUAUGGCUGCUGUUUUAGCAACUCUCCCAGCACUGUACAGAGCGGUGCUGAGGUCACCAGGCUUCCAACUGCUUUCUAUGCUUGUUGGUACUAUCACAAAGAGCAGCACUGCACUUGUGCUGGGGGUCCCGUCUGUGCAAUGGGCACAUUUUGUGACUUAACUGAAGGGUGUGAC